This 664-nucleotide non-coding RNA is filed under the name Pan troglodytes (chimpanzee). The record is from RNAcentral. Lineage: Eukaryota; Metazoa; Chordata; Mammalia; Primates; Hominidae.
CAGGAAAGAAAGAAAACACUUUAUUUGUAAAGAGAAAAUGGAACUUAGUACAUAUGCCAAAAUAAAUCUGUAACGCAGGCCACUUCUCUGGGCCCCAUCUUGAGUAGGUUAAAGGGUCACCUUAAAGACUAGAAACACAAUUAAGAGGCACAAAUCCACACAGAAAAUAUGCAUAUUUUGUCUCCUUUCCCCCCAAAACAAGCUGCAUAUACUUGUGUAAACUUGUUGAUUUGUAAAACAUGUCUAGUACUGCAGACAAAUGUGUGGGAUGAAAUAAAAGCCAUGAAAACAGGGCCAGGUGGAAUAAGUUCUCCUAGCUCAGAAGGAUCUCAACCUCUUGCAAGUUACUUUUCACUUUUAAGGGCCCUUCAAGAAGCAUUUGCUUAGCUCUGUAUCCAGGCCAUCUCUCCCUCCCCGAAGAGCAACAGACCAGCAACUGACAUUAAGAUCACAUGGGUGGGUGGGGAGUAGAAUUGCGGGGGUGACAGUUCCAGCCAAUCCAGACAACGAAUCAUUGUUUGGAGGAACCAGAGCCUCAAAGGGUGAGUGCACUGACUAGGGCUGGCUCUCCAUCUGUUCACACAUUUGUUGAGUGCCUACUCUAUGCCAAAGCACUGUGUUUUGGUGCCCUGGGGAGCACAAAAUUGGGAUAGCUCCUGCCCUC